RNAcentral lists this non-coding RNA (45 nucleotides) under Schistosoma mansoni. The record is from RNAcentral. Lineage: Eukaryota; Metazoa; Platyhelminthes; Trematoda; Strigeidida; Schistosomatidae.
AUCCAACUGAUGAGUCCCAAAUAGGACGAAACUCGCGUCCUGGAU